Molecule: microRNA precursor, 125 nt
Filed under: Pelobates cultripes (western spadefoot toad)
Lineage: Eukaryota; Metazoa; Chordata; Amphibia; Anura; Pelobatidae
Source: RNAcentral
CUGCAACAGCUGGGUCCACAUUUUGCCCACCCUGCAAAAAAAAUAAAUUAAAUAAUUAUAUAUUUAUAUUUUUUUAAUGUUUGCAUUUUUGCAGGGUGGGCAAAAUGUGGACCCAGCUGUUGCAG